Molecule: ribosomal RNA, 460 nt
Filed under: uncultured bacterium
Lineage: Bacteria
Description: partial 16S ribosomal RNA
Rfam family: Bacterial small subunit ribosomal RNA
Source: RNAcentral
CCUACGGGUGGCAGCAGUGAGGAAUAUUGGUCAAUGGACGAGAGUCUGAACCAGCCAAGUAGCGUGAAGGAUGACUGCCCUAUGGGUUGUAAACUUCUUUUAUAAAGGAAUAAAACGAGGCACGUGUGCCUUUUUGCAUGUCCUUUAUGAAUAAGGAUCGGCUAACUCCGUGCCAGCAGCCGCGGUAAUACGGAGGAUCCGAGCGUUAUCCGGAUGUAUUGGGUUAAAAGGGAGCGUAGAUGGGUUGUUAAGUCAGUUGUGAAAGUUUUCGGCUCAACCGUAAAAUUGCAAUUGAUACUGGCAGUCUUGAGAACAGUAGAGGUAGGCGGAAUUCGUGGUGUAGCGGUGAAAUGCUGAGAUAUCACGAAGAACCCCGAUUGCGAAGGCAGCUUACUAACCUGUGACUGACAUUGAUGCACCAAAGCGUAGGUACCCACCUGGAGUAGAUACCCUGGUAGUC